UACAGAGGUCUCAAGCGUUGUUCGGAUUCAUUGGGCGUAAAGGGUGCGUAGGUGGCGCUGUAAGUCGGGUGUGAAAUUUCGGAGCUUAACUCCGAAACUGCAUUCGAUACUGCGGUGCUUGAGGACUGGAGAGGAGACUGGAAUUCAUGGUGUAGCAGUGAAAUGCGUAGAUAUCUGGAGGAAUACCGGUGGCGAAGGCGGCAUCCUGGACCAUUACUGACGCUGAAUCGCGAAAGCUAGGGGAGCAAACGGG
This 253-nucleotide ribosomal RNA is filed under the name uncultured bacterium. RNAcentral's name for it is "partial 16S ribosomal RNA". It matches the Rfam family "Bacterial small subunit ribosomal RNA", at positions 524 to 776 of the family's 1533-position model. The record is from RNAcentral.